Manihot esculenta (cassava) is the source of this 745-nucleotide long non-coding RNA. RefSeq lists it as uncharacterized. The transcript has 2 exons. The record is from RefSeq and is a predicted model, not a curated record. NCBI's taxonomy places the organism in Eukaryota, Viridiplantae, Streptophyta, Magnoliopsida, Malpighiales, Euphorbiaceae.
AUUAAUUAGUACUUUUUUACUUUUAAGGUAUAUCAAACUAAACAUUAAAAUUCAUUUCAGAUCAAUCAAUGCCAAACCCACCAAAAUGCUGAGCAGAAAGCCGACGAAAAUCCGACUCCAAAUCGAAGACAAAGAAGAACUCGAAGAAGCUCGCAAACGCACCUCCGCCAACACAUCAACAUCCACAUCCACUACCGCCACCACUUCUCUCUUUCAACUCCUCGACCGCCAGCAAACCAACCCCUCCGUCAAGACCCACAUCGGUUUCUCCCCUUGAAUCUUUAUGGAAGUAGAGGUGAAAUUGGGUCUCCUUAAUGCACUCAUCUACGCCCGCCUAAAUCCCCUUCCUUCUUCAUUUCACCUCAAAACCCUUCACCAGCAAAAUCUCUUCUUUGAUUCUGACGCUGCCACUCUUUCCUCUCAACGUGCUGUUACAAUGACUCGCGUUGUGUUCUCUCCCUCAAGGCCAAGUCAAUUCUAAUUAAUGGUGUCAGCCGUGUCGAGGAAGAUGAACUCAAUGAUCGGCCUUAUGGGCAUUCUGGUCACUUAUUUUGACUCUAUUGAUCGACCUUCAGUUUGACCUCAGCCAUUGGACUUUGCUGUCAAUGUCCCCUUGCCAACAUAGAUAUCACUGUAAUCUCAAGUCUGUACUUACUCUCAUCCUUAAAUUGUUCAGUACUGUAAAGAAAGCUGUUCAUCUAGUAGUUUUGCAUCUAAGGUUUCUUGAAUUGUAGAUUGCUGUAAA